GAUGAACGCUGGCGGCGUGCCUAAUACAUGCAAGUCGAGCGAACACAUGAGGAGCUUGCUCCUCUGACGUUAGCGGCGGACGGGUGAGUAACACGUGGAUAACCUACCUAUAAGACUGGGAUAACUUCGGGAAACCGGAGCUACUACCGGAUAAUAUAUUGAACCGCAUGGUUCAAUAGUUAAAGACGCUUUUGCUUUCACUUAUAGAUGACUCCGCGCCGCAUUAGCUAGUUGUUAAGGUAACGGCUUAACAAGGCAACGAUGCGUAGACGACCUGAGCGGGUUGUCGGCCACCCUGGAAGUGAGACAGGGUACAGACUCCUACGGGAGGCAGCAGUAGGGAAUCUUCCGCAAUGGGCGAAAGCGUGACGGAGCAACGCCGGGGGAGGGAUGAAGGUGUUCGGAUCGGAAAACUCUGUUAUUAGGAAAGAAGAAAUGUGUAAGUAACUAUGAACAUAUUGACGGUACCUAAUGAGAAAGCCACGGCUAACUACGUG
Molecule: ribosomal RNA, 497 nt
Filed under: uncultured bacterium
Lineage: Bacteria
Description: partial 16S ribosomal RNA
Rfam family: Bacterial small subunit ribosomal RNA
Source: RNAcentral